RNAcentral lists this ribosomal RNA (119 nucleotides) under Pteropus alecto (black flying fox). Lineage: Eukaryota; Metazoa; Chordata; Mammalia; Chiroptera; Pteropodidae. The record is from RNAcentral. RNAcentral also lists the same sequence under 1 other name.
GUCUACGGCCAUGCCACCCUGAACACACCCGAUCUUGUCUGAUCUCGGAAGCUAAGCAGGGCCGGGCCUGGUUAGUACUUGGAUGGGAGACCAUUUACGAAGACCCGGUGCUGUAGGCU